UGCUUAGGAAUCUGCCUAUUAGUGGGGGACAACGUUCCGAAAGGAACGCUAAUACCGCAUACGUCCUACGGGGGAAAGCAGGGGAUCUUCGGACCUUGCGCUAAUAGAUGAGCCUAAGUCGGAUUAGCUAGUUGGUGGGGUAAAGGCCUACCAAGGCGACGAUCUGUAGCGGGUCUGAGAGGAUGAUCCGCCACACUGGGACUGAGACACGGCCCAGACUCCUACGGGAGGCAGCAGUGGGGAAUAUUGGACAAUGGGCGCAAGCCUGAUCCAGCCAUGCCGCGUGUGUGAAGAAGGCCUUUUGGUUGUAAAGCACUUUAAGCGAGGAGGAGGCUCCUUUAGUUAAUACCUAAAGAGAGUGGACGUUACUCGCAGAAUAAGCACCGGCUAACUCUGUGCCAGCAGCCGCGGUAAUACAGAGGGUGCGAGCGUUAAUCGGAUUUACUGGGCGUAAAGCGUGCGUAGGCGGCUUUUUAAGUCGGAUGUGAAAUCCCUGAGCUUAACUUAGGAAUUGCAUUCGAUACUGGAAAGCUAGAGUAUGGGAGAGGAUGGUAGAAUUCCAGGUGUAGCGGUGAAAUGCGUAGAGAUCUGGAGGAAUACCGAUGGCGAAGGCAGCCAUCUGGCCUAAUACUGACGCUGAGGUACGAAAGCAUGGGGAGCAAACAGGAUUAGAUACCCUGGUAGUCCAUGCCGUAAACGAUGUCUACUAGCCGUUGGGGCCUUUGAGGCUUUAGUGGCGCAGCUAACGCGAUAAGUAGACCGCCUGGGGAGUACGGUCGCAAGACUAAAACUCAAAUGAAUUGACGGGGGCCCGCACAAGCGGUGGAGCAUGUGGUUUAAUUCGAUGCAACGCGAAGAACCUUACCUGGCCUUGACAUACUAAGAACUUUCCAGAAAUG
RNAcentral lists this ribosomal RNA (899 nucleotides) under Acinetobacter schindleri. Its description in RNAcentral is "bacterial SSU rRNA". It matches the Rfam family "Bacterial small subunit ribosomal RNA", at positions 114 to 1008 of the family's 1533-position model. The record is from RNAcentral. Lineage: Bacteria; Pseudomonadati; Pseudomonadota; Gammaproteobacteria; Moraxellales; Moraxellaceae.